Molecule: ribosomal RNA, 460 nt
Filed under: uncultured bacterium
Lineage: Bacteria
Description: partial 16S ribosomal RNA
Rfam family: Bacterial small subunit ribosomal RNA
Source: RNAcentral
CCUACGGGGGGCAGCAGUGAGGAAUAUUGGUCAAUGGGCGCUAGCCUGAACCAGCCAAGCAGCGUGAAGGACGACUGCCCUAUGGGUUGUAAACUUCUUUUAUCUGGGAAUAAAGUGCAGUAUGUAUACCGCUUUGCAUGUACCUUAUGAAUAAGGAUCGGCUAACUCCGUGCCAGCAGCCGCGGUAAUACGGAGGAUCCGAGCGUUAUCCGGAUUUAUUGGGUUUAAAGGGUGCGUAGGCGGGUUGUUAAGUCAGUUGUGAAAGUCUGCGGCUCAACCCUAAAAUUGCAGUUGAUACUGGCAGCCUUGAGUACAGGAGAGGUAGGCGGAAUGCGUGGUGUAGCGGUGAAAUGCUUAGAUAUCGCGAAGAACUCCGAUUGCGAAGGCAGCCUGCUGGACUGGAACUGACGCUGAGGCACGAAAGUGUGGGUAUCAAACAGGAUUAGAUACCCCGGUAGUC